RNAcentral lists this ribosomal RNA (388 nucleotides) under uncultured bacterium. RNAcentral's name for it is "bacterial SSU rRNA". It matches the Rfam family "Bacterial small subunit ribosomal RNA", at positions 28 to 417 of the family's 1533-position model. The record is from RNAcentral.
GACGAACGCUGGCGGCGUGCUUAACACAUGCAAGUCGAGCGGUAAGGCCCUUUCGGGGGUACACGAGCGGCGAACGGGUGAGUAACACGUGGGUGACCUGCCCUCAGCUCUGGGGUAAGCCUGGGAAACCGGGUCUAAUACUGGAUAUGACUCCAUGACGCAUGUUGUGGGGUGGAAAGCCUUGUGCGGCUGAGGAUGGGCCCGCGGCCUAUCAGCUUGUUGGUGGGGUGAUGGCCUACCAAGGCGACGACGGGUAGCCGGCCUGAGAGGGCGACCGGCCACACUGGGACUGAGACACGGCCCAGACUCCUACGGGAGGCAGCAGUGGGGAAUCUUGCGCAAUGGGCGAAAGCCUGACGCAGCGACGCCGCGUGAGGGAUGACGGCCU